GUAGGAUCAGAAUCGACCAUUAGCAAAGCAUGUUUUUCCGCUUCCGUCAACCUUGCAGAAAUUUAGGCCCUAAAAAAAAACUUGCAUAAAUUUAGAUGUAUGAGUUGUCUCAUGUGUAUAGAAAGAUGAUUCUUGCGACACGAUAUACAAAGCAAGGGAAUAAAGCAAACUGAACGAAAUGUAGAAGCACGGCGUAAAACAUAUGAAGCAUAACUAUAUAUGUGACGUAUGAAACAAAUUGUACACCACGAAGAAAAGUAUGGUUCAGAGGAAUCAUGAAACUUUUAGGUGCGUUAUAUGCAUACAAUCUCAACAUAAUAUCCACAUGGUGGAUGCACAUAUUUUUCUUUCUAAAUGGGAAUACAAAAGAUUUAUAUGCAGUGGUUCAAACUAAGUUCUGACUGUCUUGUGCAUAAUGUAUGUGAAAUUCAGGAAGCUUGAUUUAGUUUUCAAUUAAGAAAAUACGUGACAUCUGCAAACAUUCAUCAGGCAUGCGGAUCAAGCAAAAUUAAACUCAUUGUGAAAGCAUAAAUUGGUGAUUUUGUGGAAGCAUAAAUGUAUGAAAUUGCAAAUGACAAAAGUUUGCCAUCAAUAUAAGGGUACAUCAUUCUAACAGCAAGAAAGCCAAUUUCAUCUGAACAAAUUGGUGAUUUUUUUUCAGGUUAGAUACUACACUCGAUAAGCACAUGAAAUGAAGGGUGAUGGAAGCAGUGCAAUACCUCGAUUUUGAGAUGGGCGCUUCAAAUGUAGGGGGUGGGCUGGGGAGAGUUGCAAUCCACUGCCGGUUCUUCAUCCGGCUGGUGCUACUCCUACAGCUAAUUUGUAACUUCUGAUCAAUGAGUCGCUGCUGAGGAUAGAGGGCUCGAACCCCUAUUGACAGGAUGGCGCACCACUAAUCUCGCACGGGGAAAACAUCAACAGAGUGAUGGAUGGGGACAUCGGGAUGUGCAACGACGAGGACAAGGGAGUGGGAAGUUGGCCGGCUGGUCGGCGGCGAGGAGCUAAAGUGCGGCGCACCACGGUGGAGCGGAAAAGGGGAUCUGGCGAGCUGGGUGGAGCUUGGGAUGGAGGAAGAGCUCCAGGAAGUGCAUCUCGAUUCGUAAUAUGGGAUUAGGAGAGAAAUCCCAUGCUAAAGUUACGGAGCUGAUUUCUUUUAUUUCCUUAUUUAUGAAAGUCGGACUACUCUCAAGGAUCGGAUUGGGAAUAGAUCAAGGGAGUUUGAUUGGUCUGGCGUUGGAGUCUUAUCAGACUAUAGAUACAAAGUAUUUCCCUUGAAAUUUAUGAUGUGUGUGUCAUGCAUCUCUUUACAUAUCCAAUGGUUGUCAAGUAGCUAGUUUUGUUAAGCGAAGUAGCUAGUUGUUGGAUUUCUUCGAAGGG
RNAcentral lists this long non-coding RNA (1377 nucleotides) under Hordeum vulgare. Its description in RNAcentral is "long non-coding RNA (HVUL_LNC007919)". The record is from RNAcentral. Lineage: Eukaryota; Viridiplantae; Streptophyta; Magnoliopsida; Poales; Poaceae.